GCAUCGAUGAAGAACGCAGCGAACUGCGAUAAGUAGUGUGAAUUGCAGAAUUCAGUGAAUCAUCAAAUCCUUGAACGCAGAUGGCGCCCUGUGGCAACGCAGGGCACACCUGUUUGAGCCUCGGUUUCAACCUCUCCCCACCCCCAAAGGGUAAGGGAGGACGUGAGGGUUGCCGUCAGGCAUCCCUUGAAAUGCAGGUUACCGGGCAGCAACAGCACGUGCUUUGGAUGCUGCAAACAACCAGUUCUGCUGAUGACACAGUCUCUCUAACUGGCUUGCAAGCGUGCGAACCCGCUUCUGUUGCCCGCCCGGUCAGACGUGUCCCCGUGACACCCUCUCAAUCUUCGAGCUCAAAUCAGGUGAGGCUACCCGCUGAAUUUAAGCAUAUCAAUAAGCGGAGGA
RNAcentral lists this ribosomal RNA (402 nucleotides) under uncultured fungus. RNAcentral describes it as "eukaryotic LSU rRNA". The stretch from base 1 to 123 matches the Rfam family "5.8S ribosomal RNA", at positions 30 to 154 of the family's 154-position model. Lineage: Eukaryota; Fungi. The record is from RNAcentral.